Long non-coding RNA from Zingiber officinale, 207 nucleotides. RefSeq lists it as uncharacterized. The transcript is spliced from 4 exons. The record is from RefSeq and is a predicted model, not a curated record. NCBI's taxonomy places the organism in Eukaryota, Viridiplantae, Streptophyta, Magnoliopsida, Zingiberales, Zingiberaceae.
AUCGUGCCUCAUCUAGUAUUGGGAAAGAGCUCAAUACGCAGUUUUUUGCUAGUGUUACGUCUUCAGGCAACGGCCAAUUGACAACAAGUAGUGCAAUUGCCCCAAUUCCUGUGCUGUCAUCAUCGUCAUCCAUGGGUUCACCACUGUUUUGGAUUGGAGUUGGAGUUGGUCUGUCAGUCAUUUUUCAAGUGGUUGCAAAUAGAUUGA